This 798-nucleotide ribosomal RNA is filed under the name uncultured bacterium. RNAcentral describes it as "bacterial SSU rRNA". It matches the Rfam family "Bacterial small subunit ribosomal RNA", at positions 1 to 796 of the family's 1533-position model. The record is from RNAcentral.
GGGAUUAGUUUGAUCCUGGCUCAGAUUGAACGCUGGCGGCAGGCUUAACACAUGCAAGUCGAGCGGGCGAGGUUGCUUCGGUAACUGAGCUAGCGGCGGACGGGUGAGUAAUGCUUAGGAAUCUGCCUAUUAGUGGGGGACAACAUUCCGAAAGGAAUGCUAAUACCGCAUACGCCCUACGGGGGAAAGCAGGGGAUCUUCGGACCUUGCGCUAAUAGAUGAGCCUAAGUCAGAUUAGCUAGUUGGUGGGGUAAAGGCCUACCAAGGCGACGAUCUGUAGCGGGUCUGAGAGGAUGAUCCGCCACACUGGGACUGAGACACGGCCCAGACUCCUACGGGAGGCAGCAGUGGGGAAUAUUGGACAAUGGGCGAAAGCCUGAUCCAGCCAUGCCGCGUGUGUGAAGAAGGCCUUUUGGUUGUAAAGCACUUUAAGCGAGGAGGAGGCUACCUGGAUUAAUACUCUGGGAUAGUGGACGUUACUCGCAGAAUAAGCACCGGCUAACCCUGUGCCAGCAGCCGCGGUAAUACAGAGGGUGCGAGCGUUAAUCGGAUUUACUGGGCGUAAAGCGUGCGUAGGCGGCUUUUCAAGUCGGAUGUGAAAUCCCUGAGCUUAACUUAGGAAUUGCAUUCGAUACUGGGAAGCUAGAGUAUGGGAGAGGAUGGUAGAAUUCCAGGUGUAGCGGUGAAAUGCGUAGAGAUCUGGAGGAAUACCGAUGGCGAAGGCAGCCAUCUGGCCUAAUACUGACGCUGAGGUACGAAAGCAUGGGGAGCAAACAGGAUUAGAUACCCUGGUAGUCA